GUAGGGAAUCUUCCGCAAUGGACGCAAGUCUGACGGAGCAACGCCGCGUGAGUGACGAAGGUUUUCGGAUCGUAAAACUCUGUUGUGAGGGAAGAACACGUACCAACUAACUAUUGGUACCUUGACGGUACCUCACCAGAAAGCCACGGCUAACUACGUGCCAGCAGCCGCGGUAAUACGUAGGUGGCAAGCGUUGUCCGGAAUUAUUGGGCGUAAAGCGCGCGCAGGCGGUUCCUUAAGUCUGAUGUGAAAGCCCACGGCUCAACCGUGGAAGGUCAUUGGAAACUGGGGAACUUGAGUGCAGAAGAGGAAAGUGGAAUUCCACGUGUAGCGGUGAAAUGCGUAGAGAUGUGGAGGAACACCAGUGGCGAAGGCGACUUUCUGGUCUGUAACUGACGCUGAGGCGCGAAAGCGUGGGGAGCAAACAGGAUUAGAUACCCGAGUAGUCC
RNAcentral lists this ribosomal RNA (449 nucleotides) under uncultured bacterium. RNAcentral describes it as "bacterial SSU rRNA". It matches the Rfam family "Bacterial small subunit ribosomal RNA", at positions 354 to 796 of the family's 1533-position model. The record is from RNAcentral.